Molecule: transfer RNA, 76 nt
Filed under: Desulfuribacillus alkaliarsenatis
Lineage: Bacteria; Bacillati; Bacillota; Desulfuribacillia; Desulfuribacillales; Desulfuribacillaceae
Description: tRNA-Thr
Rfam family: tRNA
About the family: Transfer RNA (tRNA) molecules are approximately 80 nucleotides in length. Their secondary structure includes four short double-helical elements and three loops (D, anti-codon, and T loops).
Source: RNAcentral
GCUCGCAUAGCUCAGUCGGUAGAGCGCAUCCAUGGUAAGGAUGAGGUCAUCGGUUCAAUCCCGGUUGCGAGCUCCA